RNAcentral lists this long non-coding RNA (2617 nucleotides) under Homo sapiens (human). Its description in RNAcentral is "HSALNT0348217". Lineage: Eukaryota; Metazoa; Chordata; Mammalia; Primates; Hominidae. The record is from RNAcentral.
UUGUUUCCUCCAAAACUCAUGUUGAAAUUUUAUUGCCAUUGUGAUGGUAUUGGGAGGUGGGGCCUUUAAGAGGUAUUUGAGUCAUGAUGGCUCCAUCUUCAGGAAUGAACCAAUGCCUUUAUCCUGGAAGGGGGUUCUCCCUUUCUUGCUCUCUAUCUCACUCUCUUUGUUCCCAUCCACCAUAGAAUGAUGCAGCAAGAAGGCCCUUGCAAGAUACUGGCCUGUUAAUCUUAGACUCCCCAGUCUCUGGAACCAUGAGCCAAACAAUUUGUUUAUUAUAAAUUAUUCAAUCUGUGGUAUCCUCUUAUAGUAACACAAAACAAAGACAAUGUGCAAGUUUUGAUGAAGAAUAUUUAAUAGUGUUUUCCAAAUUGUAGGAUUAAUAUAAAAAUCAUUUUAUAGCUAGGUUGUAAGGAUAACAGUUGACUGAAGUGAUAUAUAAAUGUAUAGCUUUCUGAUGUUACAGUCUGAGCUUAAGCACAGCGUUAUGUCAUGCCUUAAGUCUCACCGAUACCUGGUUUAGAUGAGACUUUGGACUUUUGAGUUGAUGCUGGAAUGAAUUCUUAAGCGGCUAUUGGGAUGGAAUAAAUAAUAUUAUUUGUGAGAAGGAGAGGAGGUUUUGGAGCAGUGAGUAGAAUGUUGUUGUUGAAUGUCUGUCCCUUCUAAAACUCAUGUUGAAAUGUAAUUGCCAUUGUGAUGUCACUGGGCUGACACAGCAGCUUCUUUUGCUGUGUUGUGCUAUUGCCCUCAUCUAUAAGGUUCCAGAUGACUUGCUGUUGUGUCCAGUUUCCAAGCCACAAAAUGAAAAACUGAAGGGACAGGAGGAGCACAACCCUUUCCUUAAGGGCUUGCCCUGGCAUGUUAACAAUCUGGAAAUUAAAUCAAGGUUCUGCUUAUACAGUACCCAUAAGAGGCACAAGAAUAUCUUUUAAAAUAUCAGGAGGCACUUAUCUUCAAGACUGUACAUGAAGGAGUAAUCCACCUAGAAAAACCAGGCUUCAGUGGCCAGGUUCAGCAUUCCAUGUCAGUGGUGAUCAUUUUACUGAGAAGGAAGCCAUGGGAUGGGCAGGUUCUUCUAAAGGUGAAUGGCUAUACAAGCUGUGAUACAACCAAACCACAGAAUGCCACUUAGAAAUAUAAAGGAACAGACUACUGAUACAUAAAACAACUUGGAUGAACCUCAGAGCAAUUAUCCUCAGUGGAAAAAGCCAACCUACAAUGAUUACCUAGUGAAUGAUUUCAUUUACGUAACAUUCUCGAAAUGCCAAGACCAUAGAAAUGGAAAACAGAAAAAUCAAGCUUUGUCUGAAGACCAAGUUUAUUCCAAGGAGGGAUCAAUUUCCAUCUUUUUAAGGGUAUGAAAGGGGUUUAAAAUUACAUUAAAUAUUGCUCAAGUAGUUGAAAGUCAGUUUCAUUGUGGACCCUAUAUUUUUCUGUUUCUCCUUGUCAUUACUCAAAGCAAUGAGCUAAUAUUUAAGAUCCAAUUUAGACAUCUCAUUAGGGUGAAAUUAAUUACUUUAUGUCAAUUAUAUUGAACUCUACCCUCAAAUAUUUUACAAAUAUUACAGCUUUGUUUGUUUAUUCCUUUGUUUAAUUUAUUUGCCUGUAGUAAGAACAUUACCUGUGAUUUGAUUCUGUAAGUUAGUUCCAUAUUGUAUAUCAUGUAUUGACUAUUUCUUUUUUCAGUUCAAUCAUGAGCAAAGGUAAGAUUUUCUAUUAUUUAUUUAAUGUAACCUUAGGAAUGACUUGAUAAAUUUUAUAGUAUAAUUUGACACACAUCUGUUGUAAUUGUUUUUGAAAGCUUUGAUUGUAUUUUGAUCCAUGUUGGUAAGUAAACAAAGUAAAUAGACUUGGUGUGGGAGGAGGAGGUACAAACAGACAUUAGAAUAAGCACAGAUUAAUUGCACCGAGUGAUUAGUUUUAGAAUCAGUAACAUUUGGUUGAGAUAUUAUCCUUUUACUUGUAAAUUUCAUUCAAUUUCAUAAAGGAAAAUUAUAAAAAGCAAGUGACCAUUAUCUCUUUUAUAUGAUCAGAACAGAAAAGAGUGUUAUGAGGGAAAGAGGUGAGUGGGGAUGGGCCCGUGCCACUUUAAGAGUAUAAGGAUUUAAAACAUCAUAGUAAUUUAGGGAUUUCUCCAAGAAGCCAUUUGUUUCAGUUCAGUCACUUCCUUUUAUAAAAGACAGCAACUCAGCUCAAAACGGCUCAAUCAAAGUAGUAUUUGGCUUACAUUUUCUUACUUCAGGCAUGAAUGGAUCUUGCUGUUCAUACCAUGUCAGUCCAUAAACGGAAUGUUAUUGGUUCUGAAUCACAUAACAUUAUCUUCUAUCCAUCUUUGAUCCAAUCACUAUGGCUGAAAGAAUGAUUUGUUCUAAUAAACCAUCCCUAGACUCUGUGAUCAUCCCUGGAAUCAAUGCCAUCUGGACCUCAUAGGCUAAUAGUUGAUGAGGUCUGGUUUCUCAAGGAAAAUUGGGGUACACCUACCAUGAGGAAGAUGAAUGAAUGCCAGGCAGACAAAUUAACAGGUGUCUACUAAACCAUCUGACAAAUAAAAACACUAGACAUUAGAUAUUUAUUAUCAUUGCUAGAGGCCAGGCACAGUUGCUCACACCUGUAAUCC